UACGUAGGGGGCAAGCGUUGUCCGGAAUCAUUGGGCAUAAAGCGCGUGUAGGCGGUCCGGUAAGUCCGCUGUGAAAGUCGGGGGCUCAACCCUCGAAUGCCGGUGGAUACUGUCGGGCUAGAGUGCGGAAGAGGCGAGUGGAAUUCCUGGUGUAGCGGUGAAAUGCGCAGAUAUCAGGAGGAACACCAAUUGCGAAGGCAGCUCGCUGGGACGUUACUGACGCUGAGACGCGAAAGCGUGGGGAGCAAACAGG
This 253-nucleotide ribosomal RNA is filed under the name uncultured bacterium. RNAcentral describes it as "partial 16S ribosomal RNA". It matches the Rfam family "Bacterial small subunit ribosomal RNA", at positions 524 to 776 of the family's 1533-position model. The record is from RNAcentral.